Molecule: long non-coding RNA, 6236 nt
Organism: Megalopta genalis
Lineage: Eukaryota; Metazoa; Arthropoda; Insecta; Hymenoptera; Halictidae
Source: RefSeq, a predicted model, not a curated record
GUGAUUCUGUCUCGUUCCGCGCAGCGUGAUUCUGUCUCGUUCCGCGCAGCUUCCGAAUAACGGAAAUCCCAGGACGAGAACUUCCGGUCAAAGUUUUUCUAAUUGAUCGGAGUGAGACAGGUUGGGUAAGAGAGCCGUAGUGACCAGAGGGACGAGGACGGCCGAUUUUCACCAGCUUUUACGGACAACGGGUGUGCCACGGGAAGCUCGUGGAAUCUUCCAAUUCGACUAAGAAACUCGAACGACGUUGCUGGCAGUUUAAUCGAAUUCCACUGCGGAGACCGGAACUUGGAUCUGCGGCUCAAAGCACAACACUUGGCCCUGUUAUACUGUAAACAACGUCCUCGUGUGUGCAGCCAUGGCGCCCGCCGCCGAAGAAGUCGCUGAAAGGAAUUAAAUAAAGUAUGCUGCACGCUCCGCGAUAUUAUGUAUACAUACAUACCAACCGUGAAACACAAGGAGAUUGUGCUGUCCUCGGUGUCGCCGAAGGAUUUAUACUGUUGUGGUUCACGUGGAAUCGUAACGCACGAAUAAUCGUGAUCCAUGUUCGGGAAAAUGGUGCACAGCUCUUACAUAGAAUCGCCGGCGAAUAAAUUGCGUUGAGAGGAGCUAAGAAGAUGUCGUGAUUAAAUUGGCCGUUUCGUAAUCAAAUGCCGCAGUAAUGGUACGUAAACGUAGCGCGGCCGGUCACGAGACGGAAACGCGGCCAAAUGUGCUUUUCGUGAGUGUUGCACGGCUUGCGCAUAAAUUUCUCGGCGUGGACGUUGGUCUCGAUCUACGGGGAUGACAGAGCCGACGGCGUACGUGAGCAAGCCACAUUAGCGACAAACAGUUCGAGCGUGCUAAUAGCGCCGAGAGGGACGCCAUAGUUCCAGCAACGGUGGAAAACCGUGCGGAACGGCCAGCAGAAUUUGUUUUUCUAGAUAACAAGGUAGCAGAGCAGCGGCGCCAGUGGAUCUGGAUCGGGCAGCAUAUCGUAUUAACCGUGGCGAUCAAACGAGCUCGAAUCAAUCGGCCGCAAUUGUAGCGGACGCGAACAUGAUCCGCUUGCGACAACGACACCGGUGCGGCCGCGAGAUAAAAGUUAAUGGACUAUGCGGGAACGUUUCUAUUAAAUUAAUUUCGGGCACCGACGGGUCGCCGCAUUGUCCCGAGCGGCGCGGGACUCGUGGACCCCCGCGAUAUUUUUCUAAUUAUGAGACCCUGUCCAUAGGAAAUUGCGCAAUUAAUAGUCCCUGUUUCGCGAACGUAUCGAUCGAUCGAGCGACCAGUCGCCGGCCCUGCGAUGGCACGCGAAAAAUAUUACAAUCGACCCCGGGCAGCGUAUAAAGGAAUUUUAGUGGGAAUAAAACGGUUGCGCCGGGCGCAGCCAUAAACUCGCCGCGUGAAUAAUAUCGUUCGCCGGUAACUUGUAUCGAUCGACACACGUAUCGGCUACUGAUCGACGCGGAAAUUAAAUUAACCAGCGUUAUGGAGCGCGAAAUUCUGACGUCUUGAAUGGCCCAGAAAAUCGACGGCUUUCAGUCAGCAAGAACGAUUGCGAUUUUCAACGCCGUAUGCGGAACGAUGGUGCGAUCAACCAGAUGGGAAGUUAUUCUAUGGCGAUCCAACGAGGAGUGUUACGACGGAAUUAUUAGCAGUGGAGCACGUUUGUAACGUAAGAACUGCUGUUGCAAUAAUAAAUUACAAUAAGCACGGUAAAACCAUGACUGAUAAGAAGAAGACGUCUUUAUACACCUUUGAAAAUUUUGGAGGAACUGCGAAACGAAUCGUUCUACCACGUCGCCAAUAUUUGUUCGGCUGACAAAUUAGAAUCUGUGGAAUGUCGUAAUGAGUGAGUGUAGUAAUUUAUAGUCACUUUGUAAAUAUCGAUUUUCUUGAUUCUUAGAAUUUGGAUAUUUUUCCUUGUCAAUUAACUGUUACUUUAUGCGUUUAUAGAAUCGCACGAAGAUAGCAAUGAAUAAAGAAUUUUCAAACAUUGUUAUAUGUCUAGCAACUCAUUGAAUGUGUGUGUAGCUGUUAGAUCUUGCAAUUAAUGCAGAUAGUUUUUAUUUUGCAUAAAAAUCUGCGGUCUAGUAAUAAAUUAGUAUCUGUGUAGGUAGGUUUAAGAAGUCAAUGACUGUUCUGCGUAAAAUAAUCUCUUGAGAAAUUAUUAUAUUACACCAUUGAGGGUGAUCUCUAGUUAUCAAUAUUUAAUCUUUACCCUCCAAAUAAUCUUCAAAGCGAUCAGUAAAAUCAUAAACAUAAUAAUCGAAAUUAACUUCUGUAUUUAACAUUUUUACCGAAAAUGUGCUAUUUUCGAGAUAUUUAGAUUUGAAGUUUCCAAAUGAACACGUUAUAUACAGAAUAUACAGCAAAAAUAUAAGCAAUACCAUCUGUUUAUAAACGUACAAUCUCCGAUUCCAUGAAUAUUUGACAAGGGCGAAAUUUCGAUUGAAAUAAUCGAGAAUAGUGAAGGAGAAUGUAGAAUAAAGUUCUCCGUAUCAAUAAACUCCGUUGAGGGAAAGAAAUCGAAUGGGUUAUACGAUUCAGGCUCUCCGGGGCGGCGCAGGAAAGUUAAGGAAAAGAUAGUGGUUGACAGAAAAACGGGGGCGGCGUGGAUUUCAUUCGUUCAGGCACGGCAAACCGAAAUGUCUAAUGCGAUUUUGAUGCGAGUCCCCUCGAGGAAGAUAGCGGGAGGCUCGAAACCGCGCCAUAUUAAAAUUCUCGUUUGCCGUGAAAUGUAUUUAAACGAUCCCGCGAAUGAAUUAAUAUUUUCUACGGAGCGAACGACACACGGAAUCGAUAACGAGCAGCUGUGUGAAACGCUAAAUUGAAAAUAAUAUAUUUCUUCGUGCUUCGGAUUUCAUCCCUCGCGCGUGAUGGCAUUGCGGUCACACGCACCGUUCCCAGCUGGUUCCCGCAGGAAUACAGAAAUAGAAAAUUCAUAAUGCAUUCGAGCAUGUUAGCAAAACACCGGGGCACAAUAAUCGAGCGGCACUCGCGGUUCCUAGGCUCCGCGAAAUUGCAAUGUAAAUUGAUGGGUUCGCUACGGAAAUGGUCACUGCUUUCGCCCGCAAAGGGCUAGGGUCUAGAUUUCCAAUAGGCUUCAAAUUAACAAUUUUUGUGAAAAAUUAUUUCGGUGAAGGUUUUACUAAUAUUAGAUCAAUUUUUUUUCUACGAUCAUUCUUAUCUACAAGGGAUAUUAUAUUCAUUAUUUUCUACAAGGGAUAUUAUAUUAAUUAUUUUCUACAAUGGAUAUAUAAUAUUCAUUAUUUUCUACAAAUUCUUACCAUAAUUGUUCAAACCAUACAUUUGAUCUUCCGAAGAAAACUCAAGGUUUCUUUUUCAAUUUUAUUGAGAUUAAAAAAUGUUUUUGAUGACCGAAACUACCCUGACUUGAUAUCGCAAAUUCUUUUUUUUUCCAACGAGCCUAGAAUCGCCAUCCUAAAACCUUAUGGCACCAAUGAAUACAUGAAUAGCAUGGUCGCAGCUGCAAUGUUUGGCUUUCUAAAUUUUAGCUGUAUUUGUAAUUCCCUUUGGACCACUGCGAUUGAUUUCUAAAUUUUUUGGUGCAUUUACGAUUGAAUAUUGAAAGGUCGGGAUACAAUCUGAAUUUUUUGGUCAAUUAAGAAUGUUAUAGUGUAAAAGUGUUCUAGUAUUUGGUCAGAGAGGUUAACAGUGAACGCUCACUAUGAGAAUUGAUCCAAGAAAUACCUGGGGCUGCAGUUUUAAUCAUUCGAUGGAAAGUGUUAUUGGACGAGCCAAUUAAUUAUAUUAGUAUUCUGUAUAAAUUGCAUAAGAUCGCCUAUCGACACUUCGGCAACAUGCAUAUGCAUAUACUGUUAUAUUUGCAAAGCAAAUUGGAUAAUUGAUGAAAUACGUUCGUUUAUUGGUAUUAUUGGCUAAUUACUAAACUGCGAACGUUCGUGAAAAUCACGGCUUUCGGCAGCCAAUUACUGCGAAAGGGGUUUCUACUUGCCACUACUUGUGCAAAUAUUUUCACCAGGUAUUAUAAAAUUAUUCAGUCAGUUACAAUUUAUUCGCGCAAUAUUAUUUUUGAUAAAAAAAAAGUUUUUAUUCGCGGCAUAACAUGUAAUAAUUUUUUAAACAGGCUAUUUAUUUCACGUUAAAAACUGCUUUCAUCCCCUCAAAAAGGAUAACAGUGAGAGAUAUCGACACGGUAUUUUAUGACACAUUAUUUCUCGAAGUCGAGAUCGGAUGCUAUCAAUUGUGUUCCUCGGAAGACACUUCCGUUGUCUUCUUGUUAUCAUGAACGCGACGCGUAACAAUGUUAUCCGACCAAGACACGACGCACCAGCAACGCGGUCGCUUUGUAACCUGUAAGUCAAAGCUUUGUCUUCGAGCCUGAGGUCAAAACCAAACACCUCCGCUGUGUUCGCCAUUGGACUUCAAACUUGAUACUCUAUUUUCAAUUAAUCGAUAAUACUAACUGUCCCACUUUAUAUAAUUGGUCAUUUCGCAGACAAUUAGCAAACUAAUAAUUUCCAGGAGGAGAAAGUCGUUUCAGCAUUUACGUACAUUUGUAAUCUCGAUCAAAAACCUUAAUCUGUUCUUCACUUGCUUCACCAUGUAAACCGCACAGUUUAAAAAAAAAACCGGGCAAAAAAUCAAUUUCUUUUAAUGUAAGGUCCUUAAGGUUGUUCGUUAACGUAGGCGUAAGAUAUCUGAAAAAAUGAAAGUAAUACUGCACGAGUAAAACAUAAUUACUUUCACUUAUACUUCAUAAAAAUAUUGACCAAAUUUAUUAUUAAGAUAAUUUAGAGUCAAGUUAACUUUAUAGUUUAUUUCACUUGUCUUUUUAAUAUUUUGACGUUUGAACGUUUUAAGAGAUAAGUGAAAGUUUUCGAAAAUAUAAUUAAAAAAUUUACGCCACACACACACGCACACAUUACGAUUCUAUACAAAUUGUGGGAUAUCUAUCCAAAUUUUCACAAAUUGUUAAAAUGACUGUGUCGCACUUGUGCAAGUGAAUGCAUUUGAUAGAAUAAAUGAGUCGAGGUUUACGGUUGCAUGAUUCUUUUUAAAAACAUCAUUGCUAUCUAAACCGCACAAAAGUGAUUAGCGUUUUCAUUCUUGGUGAUUUACUAAUUCCCGAGAAUUCCCCCCAAAUGUAGAAAAUGUUAAGUAGGGAUAGAACGACAUGCAAAAACAGUGAUAACUAUUGGAUGCCAUUGAUGUUUAUAUUAUCUCUGGUAAUCCGUGUCUCCAUUGAAAAAAAAAUCAAGACGAGCAGAUUCGAGGGCGAGUGUUUUCGAAGAGAGAAACAAUAUAUCUUCGCACUUCACGUGUACGCGUUCACCUGCACUUUCGACGAGCUAGGAACAACGAGAGGUCAACGGGGUGCGGGGUUGGGUUGGUCGAGGGUGAUAUUCUCUUGCACCCUUCGUUUUCAUCGACGUAGAUACACGGUAUAGGUGUAUGGCAACACGGACGUACAUUUGCAGCCCACUAGAGUAUCAUAGAUCAUUAUUUAGCAUACGUUCCUCGACGGUCGACGGCCGACGGUCGCUGGGGUUUGGGGAACAGAGGCGAGAGGAACAUCCAGCGUGGCGCGACAGGUGACCGGUCGCAGGACUGUUGCAGGAAAUGUAGAUGAAACAGAGACGCAUCCUUUUUAUUUUUGUUCACCUGCCGCCGGCUGUCCUUCGGCUAUGGCCGGUUUCGUCGUCUCGGUUCCACCGAACCGGCUUGACAGGGAUUUAUUAUCAUCGACGUGGCAGCGACACAAAACAUGAUGAAUCGAGUGCGCUGCGCCCGUUGGCGCGUCGCACGAUGCCGUGCCACUGUGACCCAGACUUAUAAUACAUUUUAAUUAAUCGUUCCGGCCAGAUUAAUUUGUCAUCGGCCGGUCUGACGAGAUCCGGACCGCCGAGAUUGCGGACUUUUUUCAGUCGUCGGGAUACCGUCGUAUUUUAGCUGCUCCGGGAGCGUUGGAUUUCGCGGAUAUUCUGAGCCCGGGUGACAAAUUAAUAAACGAGAAUUUGCGAAAAUAUUUCGAAUUCCCGGCGUAGGUACAGAGUAGCGAUCAUAAAUUGAAUAUAGUAAUUAAUCUCAAACGUAAGGCUGCGAAGUUUAAGCAAGACACUGUUGUUUUUAUGUUGCUUGACAGCGAGAAACUUUUCCGAAUUCGUUCGUUAUAUUAGUAUACGAUUAUCAGAAUUCGUAUGCAGUCUCUGGUUGAUUUAAAUUCAUUUACGAAGCAUAAAAGUAUGGAUUAAUUAUCGAAUUUAUUA